GUAUUUAUAGAAAACAUGAAACUACAUCACCAUUUCUUAAGAACACAGCUAUUGAGACUGAUUUUCUUAGUCUCAAAUCUAAUCUGCUAAUGUGAUUAAUUUGUAACUAGGGGGUCCCCCGCCUUCAUGUGUACCAUGACAGCUUCCUUAAGUAUAUUGUAUUCUAUUAAUAUUUUAAGCUUCAUAUUAGAAAAGAUCAGUUUUCUAUUUCCCUUAAUUAUCACAACCAUCAUUAUCAAAUACGUCCCUUUAGGUACUGCUUUCAAAGGCUGUACUAAUAUUAAACUAAGUGCAUGGCCUUAUCAGAAAACACAGCCAUACUGAGAACAGCAAGGAAGCUUAUGAUAAAUGAUUGUAAGAUAAAAUAGCUGAGAAAUGUUCACAUUUAUUCAUUUAACUCCAUUUUUUUCUGCCACCCACUAUUCAUAAUUCUUUCCCCAAAAUAAUACCAAAGGAAAACAUUUGAGUGACAUAUAAAAAGACAAUCUUUAUUUUAUUCAAACUUUCCUAUAAGAAGUUAAACACAAUGACCCCUAGUUGAAGGCAUUACAAAAAAAUGUUAACAUUGUUUCACAUAUCCCUUUAGUGCCCAGAUGAAGAAAACACUUACCUGAAUGAAAGAAUAAGAAUGUACAUUCUUACAGUAGAUUUACUUAAGUAUGCGGAAGGGGGGGGAGAUACAUAUAGGUCAAACAUAAAACAGUAAUGAACCUACUAGUUUCCUCCAGGUGAUGAGAAUUCCACUGAUGUACAGGAUGAUACAAAAGUACAUUUACAGUUGUAAGUACACAAAACAUAGUUUAUUUUUGUAUUAUUAUUAUUAUUAUAUUAUUAUUUUCAUAUGAACAACUGUAAACCUACUUUUGCCCCACCCUGUAUUAAAUUCUCCAAAAGCUCCCAAGACCUGGGGAUCACUCUUCAACAAUUAAAAAACAGCUAUAGCUAGCUAAUCCCAUAACUCAUUGUCCCUUUCCCUCAACUAUUUUGCUACCCCCUCCCCCCCAAAAAUACUAUUUUACUGCUAACAAAUGAGAAUGAAAAAUACAAUUUCCCCACUCCCAAGAUGCAUGACUAUCAGUAUCACUAGCUCCUUGGGUAAACAGUAUCAAAGCACACCCUCACCGCAUUGCCAUCUACAUAGAGUAAGAGGAAAAAUGGCUUUGGGUGAUGCAUUUCAGUGUUCUGCCUCCCAGAAUUAUAAAAGACCUGGCUAGGAUAUAAUUUCAUUUCUACAAAGGAAGGCCAAGGUGUUGGGGUUUUUUGUUUUUGUUUGUUUGUUUUUUUGUUUUUGUUUUUUAGAAAACAGUAGAACCCAGUGGAACAUCCAUGCCUGUCUUCCAGGCUCAAUCUGACCUCAAAAAUAAAAGUGCAGGGAGGCAAUAGCUUGGCAUCUACUAUUGCUCUGAACCCCAAUUUCCUCAGAAAAGCUGGGGACACAGUGCUCCUCUUCUGCAGUGCAAGCAGGUUGCUACUUUCCCCCAAACCUGUGAAGAGCAUGGAUCUCUGAUCUCCCUUCCCCUAACAGCAGGAAUUAUAAGCAGCACCAUCUGGUUAAUACCAAUGGAUGAAUAUUUGGAGAACUGGUGAUACAAACUUCUCAAAUUCUCACUAGUAAUCUAACCCUAUCUUUGUAAAGAGAGAAACACUAGGAGGGCAAUAUCAUUUCCAUACUUUAAAUUUGGAGGAAGUAGGGGUCGGGGGAAUAUAUGUUGUGGGGAUGGGUGAGAAUGGAACCCUAGCAUAUGCAAAAAUUGCAUACAAACAUUGGAGCCUUGGAUGCUGGCUAGCUGUACAAGACACAAAACCUAAUAACUAUUUGUGACAAUAAAGGAAAAGAGGGAAACACAGCUAAUUCUUUUUAUUAAGCAAAUAGCAAAGUUCUAAGUGAAGGUUAUAUCUCCUUUCUGUUUAGAAAGUAUAUAGAGAAAUAGUAAAUGCUGAAAACCAUCAAAUAAAUGCAGACCCAUACAGAACUUACAAAAUAUGCAAAAACUUGUCAUUGUUUCUAAGUCAACUCACAAUUUACAAAUCACUCCCUGCUCCUCCAGGUAUUCUGAGCAGAUUUAUAUUCUAAUAUCCAAUGAAAGGGGAAAUCAGGUGUGGGAACGGGGAAUUAAAAGGUCUGAAAAAUGACUGGUGGAGAAAAAGAAAGUGGUAAGAACCAGAUUGUCAACCCUUCGACAGAGGUGCCUCACACCUGGGAGCCUAGCACAAACUGGACACAUAGCAAAUACUUGAUUUUAGUAGUAGAGGUGAAG
This is a long non-coding RNA of Pipistrellus kuhlii (Kuhl's pipistrelle), 2258 nucleotides long. RefSeq lists it as uncharacterized. Lineage: Eukaryota; Metazoa; Chordata; Mammalia; Chiroptera; Vespertilionidae. The transcript has 2 exons. The record is from RefSeq and is a predicted model, not a curated record.